This 252-nucleotide ribosomal RNA is filed under the name uncultured bacterium. Its description in RNAcentral is "partial 16S ribosomal RNA". It matches the Rfam family "Bacterial small subunit ribosomal RNA", at positions 524 to 776 of the family's 1533-position model. The record is from RNAcentral.
UACGUAGGAUCCAAGCGUUGUCCGGAUUUACUGGUGUAAAGGGUGCGCAGGCGGACUUAUAAGUCAGUGGUGAAAUCUCACAGCUUAACUGUGAAACUGCCUUUGAUACUGUAGGUCUUGAAUUAGGGAGAGAUUCGUGGAAUUCCGAGUGUAGCAGUGAAAUGUGUAGAUAUUCGGAAGAACACCAGAGGCGAAGGCAGCGAAUUGGCCCUAUAUUGACGCUCAGGCACGAAAGCAUGGGGAUCAAACAGG